CAGCGCCACGAGUGGUAACCGCGAUUAUUGGGCCUAAAGCGUCCGUAGCCGGUUUGAUAAAUCUUUUGUGAAAUUGUCUGGCUCAACCAUACAACGCGCAAGAGACACUGUCAAACUCGAGACCGGGAGGAGUCAGAAGUAUUCCAGAGGGAGCGGUAAAAUGUUAUAAUCUCUGGAGGACUACCUGUGGCGAAGGCGUCUGACCAGAACGGAUCUGACGGUGAGGGACGAAAGCCAGGGGAGCGAACCGGAUUAGAUACCCGAGUAGUCC
This 271-nucleotide ribosomal RNA is filed under the name uncultured archaeon. Its description in RNAcentral is "partial 16S ribosomal RNA". It matches the Rfam family "Archaeal small subunit ribosomal RNA", at positions 477 to 747 of the family's 1478-position model. The record is from RNAcentral.